This is a microRNA precursor of Oryza sativa Japonica Group (Japanese rice), 195 nucleotides long. It matches the Rfam family "MIR812 microRNA precursor family". NCBI's taxonomy places the organism in Eukaryota, Viridiplantae, Streptophyta, Magnoliopsida, Poales, Poaceae. The record is from Rfam.
UCCCAGAGACUCCAUUUGUCGGUAUUUGGUUAUAACGUUUGACUCUUCGUCUUAUUUAAAAAAUUUCAAUGAUCAGUGUUUUUAUUGUUAUUAUACGAUAAAGCAUGAAUAAUAUUUUAUACGUGACUAAAUUUUUUGGAUUUUUUCAUAAGUUUUUCAAAUAAGAUGGACGAUCAAACGUGGGAUACAUAAAGC